GACGAAGGGGGCUAGCGUUGUUCGGAAUUACUGGGCGUAAAGGGCGCGUAGGCGGCAAUUCAAGUCAUCUGUGAAAUCUCCGGGCUUAACCCGGAACGGUCAGAUGAUACUGCUUUGCUAGAGUGCGGAAGGGGCAAUCGGAAUUCUUGGUGUAGCGGUGAAAUGCGUAGAUAUCAAGAGGAACACCUGAGGUGAAGACGGGUUGCUGGGCCGACACUGACGCUGACAGCGCGAAAGCCAGGGGAGCAAACGGG
RNAcentral lists this ribosomal RNA (254 nucleotides) under uncultured bacterium. RNAcentral describes it as "partial 16S ribosomal RNA". It matches the Rfam family "Bacterial small subunit ribosomal RNA", at positions 524 to 776 of the family's 1533-position model. The record is from RNAcentral.